RNAcentral lists this microRNA precursor (55 nucleotides) under Heligmosomoides polygyrus. Its description in RNAcentral is "microRNA hpo-mir-10117 precursor". Lineage: Eukaryota; Metazoa; Nematoda; Chromadorea; Rhabditida; Heligmosomidae. The record is from miRBase by way of RNAcentral.
AAGGUCUUGGCUGUAGCCACGGCUGUUUUGAGACCGCGGACCAUUCAAGAUCAUC